UACGUUCCCGGGCCUUGUACACACCGCCCGUCACACCACGAAAGUCGGCAACACCCGAAGCCGGUGGCCCAAUCCGUAAGGGAGGGAGCCGUCGAAGGUGGGGUCGGUGAUUGGGGUG
This 118-nucleotide ribosomal RNA is filed under the name uncultured bacterium. RNAcentral describes it as "partial 16S ribosomal RNA". It matches the Rfam family "Bacterial small subunit ribosomal RNA", at positions 1367 to 1482 of the family's 1533-position model. The record is from RNAcentral.